CCUGGCGGCGAGCGGCGAACGGGUGAGUAAUGUAUCGGAACGUACCCAGUCGUGGGGGAUAACUAUCCGAAAGGAUAGCUAAUACCGCAUACGUCCUGAGGGAGAAAGCGGGGGACCUGCAAGGGCCUCGCGCGAUUGGAGCGGCCGAUAUCGGAUUAGCUAGUUGGUGAGGUAAAGGCUCACCAAGGCGACGAUCCGUAGCUGGUCUGAGAGGACGACCAGCCACACUGGAACUGAGACACGGUCCAGACUCCUACGGGAGGCAGCAGUGGGGAAUUUUGGACAAUGGGGGCAACCCUGAUCCAGCCAUUCCGCGUGAGUGAAGAAGGCCUUCGGGUUGUAAAGCUCUUUCAGCAGGAACGAAACGGUGGUCCUUAAUACGGGCUACUAAUGACGGUACCUGAAGAAGAAGCACCGGCUAACUACGUGCCAGCAGCCGCGGUAAUACGUAGGGUGCGAGCGUUAAUCGGAAUUACUGGGCGUAAAGCGUGCGCAGGCGGUUCUACAAGACAGAUGUGAAAUCCCCGGGCUUAACCUGGGAACUGCGUUUGUGACUGUAGGACUCGAGUGUGGCAGAGGGGGGUGGAAUUCCACGUGUAGCAGUGAAAUGCGUAGAGAUGUGGAGGAACACCGAUGGCGAAGGCAGCCCCCUGGGUCAACACUGACGCUCAUGCACGAAAGCGUGGGGAGCAAACAGGAUUAGAUACCCUGGUAGUCCACGCCCUAAACGAUGCGAACUAGGUGUUGGGGAAGGAGACUUUCUUAGUACCGCAGCUAACGCGUGAAGUUCGCCGCCUGGGGAGUACGGUCGCAAGAUUAAAACUCAAAGGAAUUGA
RNAcentral lists this ribosomal RNA (836 nucleotides) under uncultured bacterium. Its description in RNAcentral is "bacterial SSU rRNA". It matches the Rfam family "Bacterial small subunit ribosomal RNA", at positions 84 to 913 of the family's 1533-position model. The record is from RNAcentral.